UACGGAGGGUGCGAGCGUUGUCCGGAAUCACUGGGCGUAAAGGGCGCGUAGGCGGCGACCCAAGUCAGAUGUGAAAGUCCUGGGCUUAACCUGGGGACUGCAUUUGAUACUGGGUUGCUUGAAUUCGGGAGAGGAUAGCGGAAUUCCCAGUGUAGAGGUGAAAUUCGUAGAUAUUGGGAAGAACACCGGUGGCGAAGGCGGCUAUCUGGACCGACAUUGACGCUGAGGCGCGAAAGCGUGGGGAGCAAACGGG
Molecule: ribosomal RNA, 253 nt
Filed under: uncultured bacterium
Lineage: Bacteria
Description: partial 16S ribosomal RNA
Rfam family: Bacterial small subunit ribosomal RNA
Source: RNAcentral